RNAcentral lists this transfer RNA (71 nucleotides) under Trinomys dimidiatus. RNAcentral describes it as "tRNA-Gln". It matches the Rfam family "tRNA". From Rfam's summary of the family: Transfer RNA (tRNA) molecules are approximately 80 nucleotides in length. Their secondary structure includes four short double-helical elements and three loops (D, anti-codon, and T loops). Lineage: Eukaryota; Metazoa; Chordata; Mammalia; Rodentia; Echimyidae. The record is from RNAcentral.
UAGAAUAUAGUGUAUAGGUAGCACGGAGAGUUUUGAGUUCUUCAGUUUAGGUUCGAUUCCUAUUUUUCUAG